RNAcentral lists this small RNA (1761 nucleotides) under Drosophila virilis. RNAcentral describes it as "GJ25878". The record is from RNAcentral. Lineage: Eukaryota; Metazoa; Arthropoda; Insecta; Diptera; Drosophilidae.
UCUGCUAAUGUGCUGCGCGUUGUAGUCGAUUAAAGCAUUUUACAUAUUGAAUAUAAAUAUAAGACCUUUAAACUAAUUGGCCUUAAAAUAUUUCAAUUUUAAUGGUGGAAAAUUCAAAUUCAUCUUGGAAAACUCAAAUUGAAUAUAUUGCGUAUUUCGCAUAUCACGUUGACUACUGGGGUCAAAUUAACAUAGAAUUGCGUUACGCGGGCACAAAGUGGACAGAAAAAAUCAGCGCGCAGAAAGCAAUAAUAGUUCAUGCACAUGGGUAUAUUUAUGUAUGUAUGUAUUGGUCUGCAUAAACUGGCUUGUUACUGUGUGUCUGCUUAAACGUUAUCUUCAAAUUGAUCGCACUCCAUCAAAAUUUGUUGUUGCUCGUCGCUCCUAACAAGAAUUUACUUGAUCUCUUUUAUGUGUGUCGUUUCUUCGUCCGUUAUUUACAUGCAUGCAUGUAUGUAUGUAUGUGCGCAUAUGUAGAUAAUGCACAAGCACGCGCUUACACACGCUUACACACAUAUGUACAUACAUAUGCUCGCCCAAAUUGGACAGUCUUCUCUCACUCUGUGUUAGUUUUAUUCCAGAAGUCAAUUUGAUGCGCUGUUUUGUUGAGAAUUAAAGUCGUUUGAAGCUAUUGCAAAAUAUAAUUGGAAUGUCUCGGUCAAAUACCGUCCAAUUGGCGAUUUGUUUACCUUCUCGGACGCAUGCCUCCAGCUGGGGAACAGCAUUGCUCGGUUCUCUUUCGUAUCGCGUGGGCUUGGACAGCGAUUGAAUACUUAACCGAUCCCAUUGCUUAUUUUUCAUAUUGCAACACAUAAAUAUGCUCGAUAAAGACAAGGCGAGCCGGGAUCAACUCCUUUGUGCUAGUCUGCCAGAGAGGUCGGUGCAAUUAUGUGGUCGGAAUUAAAAAGGGGUUUCUGCUCUAUCUCGCCCGUCUGCCGCUGCCAUUAGGAUGAGGACAUGGCUUGUGGAUAUCUUUUGCCGACAACUCUGCACCUGCUGCUGCCGUUGCCACGCCCUACAGAUUUCUGAUUGAGGGAUUCAAGGAUUCAUCGAUUUUAAGGACUUUCACAAGGCUUUUCUGCAAGAUUCAGGAAAAUCUGCAGCUUUCAAUGACAAAAUCAAAUCAAUAUUGUUGGUACCUAGUUGACCCACAUAUCCUUGGUUAUUCCAUACAAUGGAUAUAGUGAACCUAGAGGGCGAAUAUGGUCCAAAAAUAUGUAUGCUUUUUCAGCCGUCCCAUUUAAUUUCCCGCCCCUUGCUGGUUCCUAGUUGACUGAAAUAUCCUUGGUUCUACCAUACCAUCGAUAUAGUCCUUGGCAACCUACAACAAAUCCCUGCAAAAUUUGCAUUGAAAUUAACCAAAAGCAUUUAUUUUCCUUUUAGCAGCGCCUGUAAAUAACCAGCAGCUGCAGCUGCUAACUAACAGCCGAUCUUACAGCACUCAUUUUACAUUAACUGCUAUUUAACAUAACUCAUUUUACAUUUUUGCCCACACGGGUAUGCAACAAAAAUUUUUAUUCAAAAAAUUUCGUCGACCUUCUGAGCAUUUCUGUUCGCCUGGUACUUCAGCGGAAUUUCAGUACAAAUUGGGGACCCAGCCGCCGACGAGCGAGCCCCUUUCGGGUAUGCAACAGAAAAUUUUCGGACGCUGAAAAAUUUUGUCUACCUUCUAUAUAUUUCUGUUUGCCUGGUAUUUCAGCAGAAUUUCAGAAAAACCUCGGCAUCCGGCAACAGAUUUUUAACGACAGUUGAUUUUUGAAU